AACGAACGCUGGCGGCAUGCCUAACACAUGCAAGUCGAACGAGACCUUCGGGUCUAGUGGCGCACCGGUGCGUAACGCGGGGGAACCUGCCCUUAGGUUCGGAAUAACUCCCCGAAAGAGGUGUUAAUAACGGAUAAUGUCAUCGGACCAAAGAUUUAUCGCCUUUGGAUGGGCGCGGGUUGGAUUAGCUAGUUGGUAGGGUAAUAGCCUACCAAGGCGACGAUGCAUAGCUGGUCUGAGAGGAUGAUCAGCCACACUGGGACUGAGACACGGCCCAGACUCCUACGGGAGGCAGCAGUGGGGAAUAUUGGGCGAUGAGCGAAAGCCUGAUACAGCAAUGCCGCGUGAGUGAUGAAGGCCUUAGGGUUGUAAAGCUCUUUUACCCGGGAUGUUAAUGACAGUACCGGGAGAAUAAGCACCGGCUAACUCCGUG
This 433-nucleotide ribosomal RNA is filed under the name uncultured bacterium. RNAcentral describes it as "partial 16S ribosomal RNA". It matches the Rfam family "Bacterial small subunit ribosomal RNA", at positions 29 to 507 of the family's 1533-position model. The record is from RNAcentral.